CCUGGAGGCUUAGACGGUAAAGAAUCUGCCUGCAACGCAGGAGACCCAGGUUCGAUCCCUGGGUCAGGA
Molecule: transfer RNA, 69 nt
Filed under: Bos taurus (domestic cattle)
Lineage: Eukaryota; Metazoa; Chordata; Mammalia; Artiodactyla; Bovidae
Also listed under: 5 other names
Rfam family: tRNA
About the family: Transfer RNA (tRNA) molecules are approximately 80 nucleotides in length. Their secondary structure includes four short double-helical elements and three loops (D, anti-codon, and T loops).
Source: Rfam by way of RNAcentral